UCAAUUAAAUAUAGGUUGAACAUGAUUUGCAAAUCAUUGCAUUCUGUUUUUAUUUAUGUUCAACCCAACGUCCCAACUUCAUUGGAAUUGGGGUUGUAUGUUUAUUUUUUUUGUCUCCUGCUGUUUAACACAGAAGAGACUGAGGGCAGCAAGAAAACUGCCCACUGCAGUAAAGUGGAGACUGUAGAGUUAAAUGCACAUUAGCAUAUGUGUUUAUUUUUGUCAUUUAUAGUAGCAGUUUAUCCUACAGCAGUCUCCUCUAGGGUCAGGAAGAAAACGGACCACUGCAGCAAAGUGGAGACUGUGGAGUAUAAAUUAAUGCAACAGGGUAAAUUAAUGUCUGCUUGGAUUUGUAAUUUCCAUCAUUUAUUUAUUUUUUUUAUCCUGGAAGAGAAUAAGGGCAGCAAAAAGACGGGCUGCUGCAGUAAAGUGGAGUCUGUGGAGCAAAAUACUGCACAAACAGGAGAAAACUAAGGGCAGCAAGAAAACGGGCACUGCAACAAAGUGGAGACUGUAGAGAAUAAUACUGCAAGGUAACAUGGCUGGGCCCCCGCGCCGCACACCCGCGUCUCCGCUGCUCCCUGCUCUCCUCCGACUGUUCCGGCAGCCCCCGCCCCCCUCCAUCACGGCAAGUGUUGAAAUGUGUGUUUUUCCUGCAGCUGAAUCCUUCCUGUCACACUCGGCUUCAUUUUACUUUUGAAUUCCACUGAGGGAAGAAAAGUGGGUGGGGGGGCCGAUGCAUUGAUACUGAGAGUGUGUUGUGUGUGUGUGUAAGGGCAAACAACACAUGCAUUCCACAGGUGACCUCAAAUUGCAUCAACCACUUCUGUGACAUAUGCAAACUAGAGCAGGGGUGGGAAACUUUUAUUCUCUCAUGGGCCUUAUUAAAUGUAUGGACAAUUAUAUACAAAAUGUUUAUCAUUAUUAUAAUGAUACACUAAAUAUGUUUGGCCCUUUUAUAACAUUUCCUGCAAGGUUUUGUUUCAAGGUAUUUGUAUUUUACUGUCCACCU
Molecule: long non-coding RNA, 1012 nt
Organism: Phyllopteryx taeniolatus (common seadragon)
Lineage: Eukaryota; Metazoa; Chordata; Actinopteri; Syngnathiformes; Syngnathidae
Exons: 3
Source: RefSeq, a predicted model, not a curated record